RNAcentral lists this ribosomal RNA (433 nucleotides) under uncultured Streptococcus sp. RNAcentral describes it as "bacterial SSU rRNA". It matches the Rfam family "Bacterial small subunit ribosomal RNA", at positions 958 to 1393 of the family's 1533-position model. Lineage: Bacteria; Bacillati; Bacillota; Bacilli; Lactobacillales; Streptococcaceae. The record is from RNAcentral.
AACGCGAAGAACCUUACCUGGGCUUGACAUCCCGACGACCGGUGUAGAGAUACGCCUUUUCUUCGGAACGUCGGUGACAGGUGGUGCAUGGUUGUCGUCAGCUCGUGUCGUGAGAUGUUGGGUUAAGUCCCGCAACGAGCGCAACCCUUAUUGUUAGUUGCCAUCAUUCAGUUGGGCACUCUAGCGAGACUGCCGGUAAUAAACCGGAGGAAGGUGGGGAUGACGUCAAAUCAUCAUGCCCCUUAUGACCUGGGCUACACACGUGCUACAAUGGUUGGUACAACGAGUCGCAAGUCGGUGACGGUAAGCAAAUCUCUUAAAGCCAAUCUCAGUUCGGAUUGUAGGCUGCAACUCGCCUACAUGAAGUCGGAAUCGCUAGUAAUCGCGGAUCAGCACGCCGCGGUGAAUACGUUCCCGGGUCUUGUACACACGC